AUCACGAACUAAUGAUCUGGUAACCCACAGAGCAAUACGGUUAGGUUUCAUCUGGGCCAAUUAGAGAGUUUGAGGUAAAUUCUCAAAUAUUAGCAGCCCACACAUGAGGUAGUUUUAGGAAAAUUCUCAAAUAUUAGCAACCCAAUUUAAAACCAAGAACUAAAACAGGUUGUUGAACAGAAGAAGACGAAGAAGAGUUGCAUCAGCUGCUUUUACCUGACAUUUGUGAUCUUUCUAUCACUCCUCCAUCUUCUGUUCAAACCAAUUUCGUCUCCUACUUCGUUCCAGGCUUCUGCUUUCUUUUUCUUUUUCUUUUUGCUUGAUUGAUGAUGCUUAACAAAGCAAAUACUUUUCUUAAUUUGUUGAAUUUUGGAUCAGAUUUUGUGAAGCCAGGACACGACCAGUACGUUUAUAGACAUGCCAUUGGGUACUAUUUUAAUUCUUUUGUUAAAAUAUAUGUGGGGUUUUGAUUAAUUGUUUAUGUAUUGUUUUUGUGAUGAAAAAAAGGUUAUGUGUUUGGCUCCGACCCAUGUGGCUUUUAAGGACGCAGGAGGAAUCACGGCUGUUGAUUUCAAUGUUGGAAAGUCUGAUCGUAGUGGCAUUAAGAAUGCACAACACUUUGAGUCUGACACUGCUCUGUGUAAAGUUUGCACCCAGAGCGAUUCUUAUAUUGUCAGAUGUUGUGUUAAAGGCUCUCUGUUGGAAGUGAAUGACAGACUAAUCAAACAUUCAAAAUUUGCUGAAUUCUUCAACAGGGAAGGGUACAUUGCCAUUAUCAUGCCCAAGCCAGCAGAUUGUCUGAAGGUCAAAGCUUCAUUGUUGGGCCUUGAAGAAUACAAGAAACUGGAGAAAAUAGCUGAGCUAUUUGGGAUGCUUGGAAAAGUUUUAUAGACUUCGAGAAUAACAAGGAAUUCAAGCUUCAUUUGGAAUUCCUCCAGCCAGCAAUUCUUUGAUGGGCCUCACCCCCAGGUAAGCUCAGCGUAGGGAGAAGCAAUUUCUAUCUGGAGCCUGUAUUGUAACACCAAAGAUCACCUCCUGCCACUAUCUCUCCAAAUAUUUUCAUCAUCCUUGUAAGAUCUUUUGUUGAUGAUCAUCAGCUCUACUAUUCUCGGGUGCAGCCAUUAUCUCGUCCAUAACAAGCCUUCUGGAUCUAUUUAUGGUAUGAAAACACAGGUAGAUGUGUUGCUCGAGUUCUUCUAGCUGCUCCAGAUAGCACAAGUCGUGAGUGUGAAAUUCUUUCACGACCUCUUUCAACAGUUCAGGUUUUUUAUUCCUUACACACAUAUCAGCAAGAGCUUUACGGCGUGCUACCUCAUCGAAUAACCUCCUCACGAGUCUACUCAUGGUAUCAAAAUCUUUGAUCAAUAUGUAAGUUCCUUUGGCUGCAAGAUCUAGCUGUGCACCAAGUCUUUUUUCAAGCAAGCUUGUCUCAAGCCCCCGAUGAACCAACUUGAUUUGCUUUCUGAAUACAUACAACGAGCAACCCAUUAUUCCUGGUGCAGCCACAAUGCCAACUAUGCCAUGGAUUGCAAUUACAAGCAAGGCAAUUAGAACUGCAGUAUGUGAUAUGACAAGACACCCUCCUCCAACCUUCAUGCAUAUCCUUCUGAACUUUGCUUUCCUCGUAAUCUUUCUCUGUUCUGAAUUCAAUCCAUGGAGCAACACCAAGUUGUUAUCAUGAAAAUCAUUGAAUUUUACAGUGGUAGAAAACAUCGAUAAUGGAUUUUCAAGCACUGCAUACGCAGCAAGCUCUCUAAACAUUGCGAUGCAAAUCUUAUCUGAAUAA
Molecule: RNA transcript, 1786 nt
Organism: Populus nigra (black poplar)
Lineage: Eukaryota; Viridiplantae; Streptophyta; Magnoliopsida; Malpighiales; Salicaceae
Exons: 5
Source: RefSeq, a predicted model, not a curated record